AGAGUCUAAGGAUAAACAAGACAGGAGUCGACCUGGCACAUCCAUGGGUUGGGGAGAAAAGUGACACUCAAGCCAGACUGCCUGUUUCUUGGGAUCCAGCCUGCCGUCCUUCCCUUCUGAGCUGCCAGCACUGACUCUGAUUUCUUGAGAUUCCCAUCUUCGGAUCAGACACACUUUCCCCGCUUCCUGGUCAUCCCCCCAAACAUGAGUGCUUGUCAUCUUGAAGAUGUCACUGUAAUUACUGUGAAGAGAAAGGAGAACGCAAGGACGCAGCAAGAGGAUGGCCGUCUGUAAGCCAGGAAGAGGGCCCUCACCGAGAACCGAAUCUCCCGACACCUUGAUCUUAGACUUCCAACCUCCAGAAC
Molecule: long non-coding RNA, 365 nt
Organism: Balaenoptera musculus (blue whale)
Lineage: Eukaryota; Metazoa; Chordata; Mammalia; Artiodactyla; Balaenopteridae
Exons: 3
Source: RefSeq, a predicted model, not a curated record